UGGGGAAUUUUGGACAAUGGGCGCAAGCCUGAUCCAGCCAUUCCGCGUGCGGGAUGAAGGCCCUCGGGUUGUAAACUGCUUUUGUACGGAACGAAAAGGCUUUCUCUAAUACAGAGAGCUCAUGACGGUACCGUAAGAAUAAGCACCGGCUAACUACGUGCCAGCAGCCGCGGUAAUACGUAGGGUGCAAGCGUUAAUCGGAAUUACUGGGCGUAAAGCGUGCGCAGGCGGUGAUGUAAGACAGAUGUGAAAUCCCCGGGCUCAACCUGGGAACUGCAUUUUGUGACUGCAUCGCUGGAGUGCGGCAGAGGGGGGAUGGAAUUCCGCGUGUAGCAGUGAAAUGCGUAGAUAUGCGGAGGAACACCGAUGGCGAAGGCAAUCCCCUGGGCCUGCACUGACGCUCAUGCACGAAAGCGUGGGGAGCAAACAGGAUUAGAUACCCUGGUAGUCCACGCCCUAAACGAUGUCAACUGGUUGUUGGGUCUUCACUGACUCAGUAACGAAGCUAACGCGUGAAGUUGACCGCCUGGGGAGUACGGCCGCAAGGUUGAAACUCAAAUGAAUUGACGGGGUCAUAGCU
This 580-nucleotide ribosomal RNA is filed under the name uncultured bacterium. RNAcentral's name for it is "partial 16S ribosomal RNA". It matches the Rfam family "Bacterial small subunit ribosomal RNA", at positions 355 to 926 of the family's 1533-position model. The record is from RNAcentral.